This is a small nucleolar RNA of Dioscorea cayenensis subsp. rotundata (Guinea yam), 105 nucleotides long. The record is from RefSeq and is a predicted model, not a curated record. NCBI's taxonomy places the organism in Eukaryota, Viridiplantae, Streptophyta, Magnoliopsida, Dioscoreales, Dioscoreaceae.
AAGCUAUGGUGAGGGCAUAACCUCAUCAACUCCUUGAAUCUAUCCCAAGAUUCAUACAAUGAUUCACCGUCUCUUUGUGAAAAACUAGUGAUUUGGUUCCACAAU